RNAcentral lists this ribosomal RNA (468 nucleotides) under uncultured bacterium. Its description in RNAcentral is "partial 16S ribosomal RNA". It matches the Rfam family "Bacterial small subunit ribosomal RNA", at positions 28 to 507 of the family's 1533-position model. The record is from RNAcentral.
GACGAACGCUGGCGGCGUGCUUAACACAUGCAAGUCGAACGGAAAGGCCCUGCUUUUGCUGGGUGCACGAGUGGCGAACGGGUGAGUAACACGUGAGUAACAUGCCCUUGUCUUUGGGAUAACUUCAGGAAACUGGGGCUAAUAUCCGAGAGGAGCUCCUGCUGCACGGUGGGGGUUGGAAAGAGUCGGCGGUUGUGGAUGGACUCGCGGCUUAUCAGCUUGUUGGUGGGGUAGUGGCUUACGAAGGCUUUGACGGGUAGCCGGCCUGAGAGGGUGACCGGCCUCAUUGGGACUGAGAUACGGCCCAGACUCGUACGGGCGGCAGUAGUGGGGAAUAUUGCACAACGGGCGGAAGUCUGAUGUAGCAACGCCGCGUGCGGGAUGACGGCCUUCGGGUUGUAAACCGCUUUCGCCUGUAACGAAGCGUGAGUGACGGUAAUUAGUAAAGAAGCACCGGCUAACUACGUG